This 352-nucleotide ribosomal RNA is filed under the name uncultured Coriobacteriales bacterium. RNAcentral's name for it is "partial 16S ribosomal RNA". Lineage: Bacteria; Bacillati; Actinomycetota; Coriobacteriia; Coriobacteriales. The record is from RNAcentral.
GGAGUUUGGGCCGUGUCUCAGUCCCAAUGUGGCCGUUCACCCUCUCAGGCCGGCUACUGAUCGUCGCUUUGGUGGGCCGUUACCCCGCCAACUGGCUAAUCAGACGCGGAUCCAUCUCGCACCGAUAAAUCUUUUACCUCAGCCCCAUGCAGGGCCGUGGUCUUAUGCGGUAUUACCAGCCGUUUCCAGCUGCUAUCCCCCUGUGCGAGGCAGGUUAUCCACGCGUUACUCACCCGUCCGCCACUAAACUAAAAAUCCAUCAUCCCGAAGGAAUCUGUCAAAAUAGUUCCGUUCGACUUGCAUGUGUUAGGCACGCCGCCAGCGUUCGUCCUGAGCCACGGAUCAAACUACU